RNAcentral lists this ribosomal RNA (284 nucleotides) under uncultured bacterium. RNAcentral describes it as "partial 16S ribosomal RNA". It matches the Rfam family "Bacterial small subunit ribosomal RNA", at positions 524 to 800 of the family's 1533-position model. The record is from RNAcentral.
GACGAACCGUGCAAACGUUGUUCGGAAUCACUGGGCUUAAAGGGCGCGUAGGCGGGCAGGCAAGUCGAAGGUGAAAUCCCACGGCUCAACCGUGGAAGUGCCCCCGAUACUGCCUGUCUCGAGGGAGAUAGGGGCGUGCGGAACUUCCGGUGGAGCGGUGAAAUGCGUAGAUAUCGGAAGGAACACCGGUGGCGAAAGCGGCGCGCUGGACUCUCUUCUGACGCUGAUGCGCGAAAGCCAGGGGAGCAAAGCGGGAUUAAGAUGACCCUGGUAGUACCCCAGGA